This is a long non-coding RNA of Sinocyclocheilus rhinocerous, 269 nucleotides long. RefSeq lists it as uncharacterized. The transcript is spliced from 4 exons. NCBI's taxonomy places the organism in Eukaryota, Metazoa, Chordata, Actinopteri, Cypriniformes, Cyprinidae. The record is from RefSeq and is a predicted model, not a curated record.
CCCAAACAUUAAAGAGAAGUGACUUUUGGUCUUUGGCCUUUGAUGAGUUAGAGGCAACGAUUGCUAAUCAGUGCUUUCAGCUCAUCGCUGCACUUGCAGCUUCACAGGGCAAAGAUGUGUUUGCUGUCAACAGUUAUGUGGUGGUCACGUGGUUGCCUCCAUAUAACAGUGAUCCUCGGCCAGCUUUACCUGAUGAUGCUGCAACCAAGGACUUCUUGUUACUUCCCUCAUUGGAGUCAGGGCACUGGAUUAUAUGUGUAAAUUUUUCC